GACGAACGCUGGCGGCGUGCCUAAUACAUGCAAGUCGAACGAAGCUGUUUUAACUGGUGCUUGCACCGACUUAAACAACUGAGUGGCGAACGGGUGAGUAACACGUGGGUAACCUGCCCCAAAGCGGGGGAUAACAUUUGGAAACAGAUGCUAAUACCGCAUAAUCACAGAAACCACAUGGUUUCUGUGUCAAAGAUGGUUUCGGCUAUCACUUUGGGAUGGACCCGCGGCGUAUUAGCUAGUUGGUAAGGUAAUGGCUUACCAAGGCAAUGAUACAUAGCCGAACGGAGAGUUUGAUCGGCCACAUUGGGACUGAGACACGGCCCAAACUCCUACGGGAGGCAGCAGUAGGGAAUCUUCCACAAUGGACGAAAGUCUGAUGGAGCAACGCCGCGUGAGUGAAGAAGGUUUUCGGAUCGUAAAACUCUGUUGUCAGAGAAGAACGUGUGCGAGAGUAACUGUUCGUGCAGUGACGGUAUCUGGCCAGAAAGCCACGGCUAACUACGUGCCAGCAGCCGCCGUAA
Molecule: ribosomal RNA, 524 nt
Filed under: uncultured bacterium
Lineage: Bacteria
Description: partial 16S ribosomal RNA
Rfam family: Bacterial small subunit ribosomal RNA
Source: RNAcentral